RNAcentral lists this transfer RNA (70 nucleotides) under Dipodomys ordii (Ord's kangaroo rat). It matches the Rfam family "tRNA". From Rfam's summary of the family: Transfer RNA (tRNA) molecules are approximately 80 nucleotides in length. The record is from Rfam by way of RNAcentral. Lineage: Eukaryota; Metazoa; Chordata; Mammalia; Rodentia; Heteromyidae.
GGGAAUGUGGCUUAGUGGUAAAGUGCUUGCCUUGUAUGCAUGAAGCCCUGGGUUCGAUUUCUCAGUACCA